GAUUAGCCAUGCUAGUUGUGCGGGUUUAGACCCGCAGCGGAAGCUCAGUAACACGUGGCCAAGCUACCCUGUGGACGGGAAUACUCUCGGGAAACUGAGGCUAAUCCCCGAUAACGCUUUGCUCCUGGAAGGGGCAAAGCCGGAAACGCUCCGGCGCCACAGGAUGCGGCUGCGGUCGAUUAGGUAGACGGUGGGGUAACGGCCCACCGUGCCCAUAAUCGGUACGGGUUGUGAGAGCAAGAGCCCGGAGACGGAAUCUGAGACAAGAUUCCGGGCCCUACGGGGCGCAGCAGGCGCGAAACCUUUACACUGUACGAAAGUGCGAUAAGGGGACUCCGAGUGUGAAGGCAUAGAGCCUUCACUUUUGUACACCGUAAGGUGGUGCACGAAUAAGGACUGGGCAAGACCGGUGCCAGCCGCCGCGGUAAUACCGGCAGUCCGAGUGAUGGCCGAUCUUAUUGGGCCUAAAGCGUCCGUAGCUGGCUGAACAAGUCCGUUGGGAAAUCUGUCCGCUUAACGGGCAGGCGUCCAGCGGAAACUGUUCAGCUUGGGACCGGAAGACCUGAGGGGUACGUCUGGGGUAGGAGUGAAAUCCUGUAAUCCUGGACGGACCGCC
RNAcentral lists this ribosomal RNA (616 nucleotides) under Halobacterium sp. I.C16. Its description in RNAcentral is "bacterial SSU rRNA". It matches the Rfam family "Archaeal small subunit ribosomal RNA", at positions 43 to 661 of the family's 1478-position model. The record is from RNAcentral. Lineage: Archaea; Methanobacteriati; Methanobacteriota; Halobacteria; Halobacteriales; Halobacteriaceae.